UGAGAGUUGGGUGGGAUGAACACCGCGAUAAAUAAUUGUACCAAAAUUAAUAUAAGUUGUACUAUAAACUUGGGCCUAUAUUUUCCUUUCAAUUGUUAUUUUUCAAUUGUCCUCUUUUAGUUGACACGUCCUUUCCUCUUUAUUUGUCUAGAACAUAUGGCUUUCGCUUCACUUCCAUUUCCCCUGUUCUUGAAUUUGUGUCAUUAACAGUCAAUUUUUCUAUGCCUAUUAUGCGUUCUUGUUCUCUUUGUUUGGUUGUUUAUUUUUUUUUUCUUUCUUAUGGAAUUUGGGGCUACUUCUGAAAGAGGAUUAAUUUUACACGUAUAUAAUUAUUGUUGACUCAUAAUGCACUUAGAGAUCUAGAGGAAGAAAUAUUUGGUAGAAGCCAACAUUAUGGAAGAAAAAGAAACUAUAGAAUGAUGUCAAGGAUUACCAUUAAUAGUGGAGUUUGAUUCAUCUCCAAAUGCACUUUGGGCUUUUUGGAGCUUAGUGGAAUGAAUGAGCAGGGAAUGCAAAGAAACUGAUUGCUCUACUGAUAUGUUGGUACCUCAUAUUGAGAGGUUUGGAAUGAACUCCAGCGCUUAUCAUCACUUUUUAAUUGGUUGUUGAAGCUCUUGGUCCAAUUUGCUAUAUCUUGAUGGAAUUUGUUGGUUUCAACAGGUUUAUUCACUUAUGGGUAUCAACAGCUGAUAUGCAAUUGACCACUCAUUCUGGCUUGACAUACAUGUGUCUCAUUUUCUACUUGACUUUCACAAAACUAUUUAUAUAGGGUCAUAAGAAUAAUGGUAUAUUGAGAUUUGUUCUUCCCUUGCUUUCCUAAUUUAUGCAAAUAUUCUUUUAUGAAGUCCUUGUUUUAUGAGCAAUCCAAGAUGACUUCCAUAUGAUAGAAGCAU
Molecule: long non-coding RNA, 893 nt
Organism: Lycium barbarum (goji berry)
Lineage: Eukaryota; Viridiplantae; Streptophyta; Magnoliopsida; Solanales; Solanaceae
Exons: 3
Source: RefSeq, a predicted model, not a curated record